This 353-nucleotide unclassified non-coding RNA is filed under the name soil metagenome. RNAcentral's name for it is "partial contains 5.8S ribosomal RNA, internal transcribed spacer 2, and large subunit ribosomal RNA". The stretch from base 1 to 120 matches the Rfam family "5.8S ribosomal RNA", at positions 35 to 154 of the family's 154-position model. The record is from RNAcentral.
GAUGAAGAACGCAGCGAAAUGCGAUAAGUAAUGUGAAUUGCAGAAUUCAGUGAAUCAUCGAAUCUUUGAACGCACAUUGCGCCCGCCAGUAUUCUGGCGGGCAUGCCUGUUCGAGCGUCAUUACAACCCUCAGGCCCCCGGGCCUGGCGUUGGGGAUCGGCGGAAGCCCCCUGCGGGCACAACGCCGUCCCCCAAAUACAGUGGCGGUCCCGCCGCAGCUUCCAUUGCGUAGUAGCUAACACCUCGCAACUGGAGAGCGGCGCGGCCACGCCGUAAAACACCCAACUUCUGAAUGUUGACCUCGAAUCAGGUAGGAAUACACGCUGAACUUAAGCAUAUCAAUAAGCGGAGGA